Lentisphaera araneosa HTCC2155 is the source of this 74-nucleotide transfer RNA. It matches the Rfam family "tRNA". From Rfam's summary of the family: Transfer RNA (tRNA) molecules are approximately 80 nucleotides in length. The record is from Rfam. Lineage: Bacteria; Pseudomonadati; Lentisphaerota; Lentisphaeria; Lentisphaerales; Lentisphaeraceae.
GGGCGAUUAGCUCAGCUGGCUAGAGCGACUGGUUUACACCCAGUAGGUCGGGGGUUCAAGUCCCUCAUCGCCCA